Molecule: long non-coding RNA, 1077 nt
Filed under: Homo sapiens (human)
Lineage: Eukaryota; Metazoa; Chordata; Mammalia; Primates; Hominidae
Description: long non-coding RNA NONHSAT161973.1
Source: RNAcentral
GACACACUUCAUCGACAGACGGUACUAUAACUUCAAGUGAUCCUGGAUUAGAAAUUCUGAAUAUGGCUUCUUGUGACCUUGACAGAAACUCGCUCUGUAAGAAAGAGGAGGAUACAAGAUCAGCUUCUCCCACGAUAGAGGCCCAAGGCACAAGUCCAGCUCAUGAUAAUAUUGCAUUCCAAGACUCUACGAGUAAGGAUAAAACCAUAUUAAAUCUGGAAGCCAAAGAGGAACCAGAAACAAUAGAAGAACAUAAAAAAGAACAUGCUUCAGGAGACUCUGUGGUUUCCCCUCUUCCUGUAACCACUGUGAAAUCGGUUAACCUUAGACAAAGUGAGAACACUUCUGCUAAUGAGAAGGAGGUGGAGGUGAGUUUAAAGCAAAUUUUUUUUCCUUUUAAAAAAGUGUUCCAGACUCACCUGCUACAGUCACUUCAUGUUUUGGCACAAGCUCUCAUAUGCUCGGUGUCUGUUUGGCUUGGCUGUGACUCAGUGCAGGUGAACCCUGUGCAUGUCAGCAUUAUGUUGCUGGGGGGAGAAAGAAAUGCCUCAGUAUAAAACAGUAUUAAACUGAAACAUCUGACCACAUCCGGUUUUCUCUCCUCUUCCUCACCCUCACAUUAUUUUGACAACAGGCAGAAUUUCUCAGAUUAUCUUUGGGAUUUAAGUGUGACUGGUUUACCUUGGAGAAGAGAGUGAAGCUUGAAGAGAGGUCCCGUGACUUGGCAGAAGAAAAUUUGAAGAAAGAAAUCACUAACUGUUUAAAACUAUUAGAGUCUUUAACACCUCUGUGUGAAGAUGACAACCAGGCACAGGAAAUCAUUAAGAAGCUGGAGAAGAGUAUAAAGUUUCUUAGCCAGUGUGCAGCACGAGUGGCCAGUAGGGCUGAGAUGUUGGGAGCCAUCAAUCAGGUAACCUGUCUUCAUUUCUCUAGUUAGAAUGAAAUUACAAAAAAGAUUCACUUUUCCUGAGACUAUGGAUUUCUCACUUCUAGGAAUAAGUUUUAAAAAAUACUUUUGUUGUAUAAGACAUAUGCGUUUAAUACAUAUGUGUUUAAUACAGAAAAAAUGGAAUAUAC